RNAcentral lists this ribosomal RNA (266 nucleotides) under uncultured bacterium. Its description in RNAcentral is "partial 16S ribosomal RNA". It matches the Rfam family "Bacterial small subunit ribosomal RNA", at positions 793 to 1055 of the family's 1533-position model. The record is from RNAcentral.
GUCCACGCCCUAAACGAUGAUGACUAGUUGUUGGAGGAGUUAAAUCCUUUAGUAACGCAGCUAACGCGUGAAGUCAUCCGCCUGGGGAGUACGGUCGCAAGAUUAAAACUCAAAGGAAUUGACGGGGGCCCCGCACAAGCGGUGGAUGAUGUGGUUUAAUUCGAUGCAACGCGAAAAACCUUACCUACCCUUGACAUGCCAGGAACGCUCCAGAAAUGGGGCGUGCCCGAAAGGGAACCUGGACACAGGUGCUGCAUGGCUGUCGU